RNAcentral lists this ribosomal RNA (491 nucleotides) under uncultured bacterium. Its description in RNAcentral is "partial 16S ribosomal RNA". It matches the Rfam family "Bacterial small subunit ribosomal RNA", at positions 29 to 506 of the family's 1533-position model. The record is from RNAcentral.
AGUGAACGCUGGCGGUAGGCCUAACACAUGCAAGUCGAACGGCAGCACAGUAAGAGCUUGCUCUUACGGGUGGCGAGUGGCGGACGGGUGAGGAAUACAUCGGAAUCUACUUUUUCGUGGGGGAUAACGUAGGGAAACUUACGCUAAUACCGCAUACGACAUACGGGUGAAAGCAGGGGAUCUUCGGACCUUGCGCGAUUGAAUGAGCCGAUGUCGGAUUAGCUAGUUGGCGGGGUAAAGGCCGACCAAGGCGACGAUCCGUAGCUGGUCUGAGAGGAUGAUCAGCCACACUGGAACUGAGACACGGUCCAGACUCCUACGGGAGGCAGCAGUGGGGAAUAUUGGACAAUGGGCGCAAGCCUGAUCCAGCCAUACCGCGUGGGUGAAGAAGGCCUUCGGGUUGUAAAGCCCUUUUGUUGGGAAAGAAAAGCAGCAGGUUAAUACCCCGCUGUUCGGACGGUACCCAAAGAAUAAGCACCGGCUAACUUCGU